RNAcentral lists this transfer RNA (72 nucleotides) under Mus musculus (house mouse). It matches the Rfam family "tRNA". From Rfam's summary of the family: Transfer RNA (tRNA) molecules are approximately 80 nucleotides in length. The record is from Rfam by way of RNAcentral. Lineage: Eukaryota; Metazoa; Chordata; Mammalia; Rodentia; Muridae.
GGGGAGAUGGCUUAGUGGUAAGAGCACUGGCUGUUCUUCUGUUGGACCUGGGUUCAAUUCCCAGUAUCCAUA